Molecule: ribosomal RNA, 253 nt
Filed under: uncultured bacterium
Lineage: Bacteria
Description: partial 16S ribosomal RNA
Rfam family: Bacterial small subunit ribosomal RNA
Source: RNAcentral
UACGAACCGUGCGAACGUUGUUCGGAAUCACUGGGCUUAAAGGGCGCGUAGGCGGGCUGACAAGUCUGGGGUGAAAUGCCGCGGCUCAACCGUGGAACUGCCUUAGAUACUGUCGGCCUCGAGGAAGGUAGGGGCAUGUGGAACUGUAGGUGGAGCGGUGAAAUGCGCAGAUAUCAGGAGGAACACCAAUGGCGAAGGCAGCUCGCUGGGACGGUACUGACGCUGAGACGCGAAAGCGUGGGGAGCAAACAGG